Molecule: non-coding RNA, 150 nt
Organism: Caenorhabditis elegans
Lineage: Eukaryota; Metazoa; Nematoda; Chromadorea; Rhabditida; Rhabditidae
Source: Ensembl
UUGAAAAUAUUUGAAUUUUUAGCUGGAAAUUUCAGAAAAAAAAAUUAUUUUUUUUGGAAUACCCAGUUUUGGAAUGGUAGAAAAAUGUUGAAUUUUCUGGAAAAAAAUUCAAAUUUUCAUUAAAAAUUAUUUGAAAAAUUUCCAAAAAAU